UACGUAGGGUGCAAGCGUUGUCCGGAAUUAUUGGGCGUAAAGAGCUCGUAGGCGGUUUGUUGCGUCGGCUGUGAAAUCCCGAGGCUCAACCUCGGGUCUGCAGUCGAUACGAGCAAACUAGAGUGUUGCAGGGGAGACUGGAAUUCCUGGUGUAGCGGUGAAAUGCGCAGAUAUCAGGAGGAACACCGGUGGCGAAGGCGGUUCUCUGGGCCUUACCUGACGCUGAGGAGCGAAAGCAUGGGGAGCAAACAGG
Molecule: ribosomal RNA, 253 nt
Filed under: uncultured bacterium
Lineage: Bacteria
Description: partial 16S ribosomal RNA
Rfam family: Bacterial small subunit ribosomal RNA
Source: RNAcentral